RNAcentral lists this ribosomal RNA (253 nucleotides) under uncultured bacterium. RNAcentral describes it as "partial 16S ribosomal RNA". It matches the Rfam family "Bacterial small subunit ribosomal RNA", at positions 524 to 776 of the family's 1533-position model. The record is from RNAcentral.
UACGUAGGGGGCAAGCGUUGUCCGGAGUUACUGGGCGUAAAGCGCACGCAGGCGGUCGAUUAAGUUUGGAGUGACAGUUGGUGGCUUAACUGCCAAAGUGCUUUGAAAACUGAUCGACUUGAGGGCUUCAGAGGGACACGGAAUUCCGGGUGGAGUGGUGAAAUGCGUAGAGAUCCGGAGGAACACCGAAGGCGAAGGCAGCGUCCUGGGGAGUACCUGACGCUCAGGUGCGAAAGCCAGGGGAGCGAACGGG